AAUGGCCUCAAGUUUAAGCAGUGGAGAGUUUAGGUUGGAUAUUAGGAGAAAUUUCUUUACUGAAAGAGUUGUAUAGUAUUGGAACAGGCUGCCCAGGGAAGUAGUUGAGUCACCAUGCCUGGAGAUCUUCAAGAAACGUGUAUAUUUAGAACUUAGUAGCAUGCUUUAGUGGUGGACUUUAGUACCAGGUUAAAGGUUGGACUGGAUGAUCUUAAAGGUCUUUUCAAACCUGAAUGAUUCUAUG
This is a long non-coding RNA of Oxyura jamaicensis (ruddy duck), 244 nucleotides long. RefSeq lists it as uncharacterized. NCBI's taxonomy places the organism in Eukaryota, Metazoa, Chordata, Aves, Anseriformes, Anatidae. The transcript is spliced from 4 exons. The record is from RefSeq and is a predicted model, not a curated record.